UUUUCUUCCCCUUACAAGUUUCUCCUUGUUAAAACAGAACUGAAAAUUCUAUGCUUUGGUCACAGUUAAUCCCCUUGGAAGUGGUACACUGGAAGUGAACUGGCAAGUUCGAGAACUCACAGCAAUGCUGACAAGUAUUUUCUCUGCAACAUCUAAAUGUGACUGUUCUGUAGAUCUGAGGAGAAUGAGGAUACUCGCAGACACCUCAAGUACUGGGUGGGAGAAGAAUCUAUGGGGCUUACACUGGAGUUUAUCCUACAUGAAAGUCAUCCUGUGCAUAUAGAUUGUUAACGCAAUUUCACUUGUGAAUGGGGUCGGUGGUCAUAUAAAAUCAAAUAACUUUAAGGGCCCUUCUGUGAAAUGGGGGAAGACAAUAUCUCCACUCUCAGCGUUUCUUAUUAACCUGUAGCUCUUUGUAUAUUGUUGAAGUAAUCUCAAAAUGAGAGUGGGGGGAAGGAGAGAGAUG
Long non-coding RNA from Myodes glareolus (Bank vole), 466 nucleotides. RefSeq lists it as uncharacterized. The record is from RefSeq and is a predicted model, not a curated record. NCBI's taxonomy places the organism in Eukaryota, Metazoa, Chordata, Mammalia, Rodentia, Cricetidae.